CUCUUAUCAAGAGCGGCGGAGGGAUAGGCCCUGAGAAGCCCGGCAACCAUUAAGGCAAGUCUUCUUGCCUUGAAAGGUGCUAAAUCCUACAGAUUAAAUGGAUCUGGAAGAUAAGAG
RNAcentral lists this non-coding RNA (117 nucleotides) under Lentibacillus amyloliquefaciens. RNAcentral describes it as "SAM-I sequence". It matches the Rfam family "SAM riboswitch aptamer (S box leader)". From Rfam's summary of the family: The SAM riboswitch is found upstream of a number of genes which code for proteins involved in methionine or cysteine biosynthesis in Gram-positive bacteria. The SAM riboswitch acts at the level of transcription termination control. Lineage: Bacteria; Bacillati; Bacillota; Bacilli; Caryophanales; Bacillaceae. The record is from Rfam by way of RNAcentral.